UCCCAUGAGAAAGAAGGUGGUGCCCCAAGGCCGGAUAGAAUGAUGGAACAAUUCCAAGACGCUUUGGUUGAUUGUGAGCUAGAAGAUAUGGGAUUCAAGGGCGACCAGUUUACGUGGAGACGGAGUCGUAUCCGAGAACGCCUCGAUAGGGCUGUGUGCAAUGGCAGAUUUCAUAAUUUGUUCCCGGAAGCAAUUGUUACAAAUGCGCCACACAUUAAAUCUGACCAUCGUCCGGUUGUUUUGGAAACAGAGGUAAAUGGUGAUGCAAACCAGCAGCUUGUGAAGCGGAAGCAGUUUGAGGCUCGUUGGCUUAAGGAAGAGGAGAUAAUGACCCGCGUCACAGAAGCAUGGGAACGGACGCUGUCUUCGGCAUCUCUCGCUGAACGUACGACAAUGGUGCACACGGACCUUCAUGAAUGGGACCGAGCAGUUCUUAAGUCACCACAAUGCCGCUUAAAAUCGCCGAAGGUGGAGCUUGAAAAACUCUGA
RNAcentral lists this ribosomal RNA (489 nucleotides) under Triticum aestivum (bread wheat). RNAcentral describes it as "partial small subunit ribosomal RNA". The record is from RNAcentral. Lineage: Eukaryota; Viridiplantae; Streptophyta; Magnoliopsida; Poales; Poaceae.